UACGUAGGGCGCAAGCGUUAUCCGGAAUUAUUGGGCGUAAAGAGCUCGUAGGCGGUUUGUCGCGUCUGCCGUGAAAGUCCGGGGCUCAACUCCGGAUCUGCGGUGGGUACGGGCAGACUAGAGUGAUGUAGGGGAGACUGGAAUUCCUGGUGUAGCGGUGAAAUGCGCAGAUAUCAGGAGGAACACCGAUGGCGAAGGCAGGUCUCUGGGCAUUAACUGACGGCUGAGGAGCGAAAGCAUGGGGAGCGAACAGG
RNAcentral lists this ribosomal RNA (254 nucleotides) under uncultured bacterium. RNAcentral's name for it is "partial 16S ribosomal RNA". It matches the Rfam family "Bacterial small subunit ribosomal RNA", at positions 524 to 776 of the family's 1533-position model. The record is from RNAcentral.